AGGCACAAAAGACAGUUUGAGAACCAAUGGUGCUAAUUUCAGAAUCAUUCCGACUCUUGACCUUCAUACAGUAUAAACUUUCAAACAUAUUUGGCUUUAUGGG
Molecule: long non-coding RNA, 103 nt
Organism: Thalassophryne amazonica
Lineage: Eukaryota; Metazoa; Chordata; Actinopteri; Batrachoidiformes; Batrachoididae
Exons: 4
Source: RefSeq, a predicted model, not a curated record